Molecule: non-coding RNA, 113 nt
Organism: Acanthosepion pharaonis
Lineage: Eukaryota; Metazoa; Mollusca; Cephalopoda; Sepiida; Sepiidae
Source: the annotation of a GenBank genome assembly
UACGGCCACAUUGUGUUGAAACGUUGGUUCCCGUGCGAUCAACGAAGUUAAGCAACAUUGAACCUGCUUAGUAUCUAGAUGGGUGAUCACUUGCGAAUACUAGGUGCUGUAAG